GGUGACCGGCCACACUGGGACUGAGAUACGGCCCAGACUCCUACGGGAGGCAGCAGUGGGGAAUAUUGCACAAUGGGCGCAAGCCUGAUGCAGCGACGCCGCGUGAGGGAUGACGGCCUUCGGGUUGUAAACCUCUUUCAGUACCGACGAAGCGCGAGUGACGGUAGGUACAGAAGAAGGACCGGCCAACUACGUGCCAGCAGCCGCGGUAAUACGUAGGGUCCGAGCGUUGUCCGGAAUUACUGGGCGUAAAGAGCUCGUAGGUGGCUUGUCGCGUUGUUCGUGAAAACUCACAGCUCAACUGUGGGCGUGCGGGCGAUACGGGCAGACUGGAGUACUGCAGGGGAGACUGGAAUUCCUGGUGUAGCGGUGGAAUGCGCAGAUAUCAGGAGGAACACCGGUGGCGAAGGCGGGUCUCUGGGCAGUAACUGACGCUGAGGAGCGAAAGCGUGGGGAGCGAACAGGAUUAGAUACCCUGGUAGUCCACGCCGUAAACGGUGGGUACUAGGUGUGGGUUUCCUUCCUUGGGAUCCGUGCCGUAGCUAACGCAUUAAGUACCCCGCCUGGGGAGUACGGCCGCAAGGCUAAAACUCAAAGAAAUUGACGGGGGCCCGCACAAGCGGCGGAGCAUGUGGAUUAAUUCGAUGCAACGCGAAGAACCUUACCUGGGUUUGACAUGCACAGGACGUGCCUAGAGAUAGGUAUUCCCUUGUGGCCUGUGUGCAGGUGGUGCAUGGCUGUCGUCAGCUCGUGUCGUGAGAUGUUGGGUUAAGUCCCGCAACGAGCGCAACCCUUAUCUUAUGUUGCCAGCGCGUAAUGGCGGGGACUCGUGAGAG
RNAcentral lists this ribosomal RNA (836 nucleotides) under uncultured Actinomycetes bacterium. RNAcentral's name for it is "bacterial SSU rRNA". It matches the Rfam family "Bacterial small subunit ribosomal RNA", at positions 299 to 1147 of the family's 1533-position model. Lineage: Bacteria; Bacillati; Actinomycetota; Actinomycetes. The record is from RNAcentral.